Long non-coding RNA from Dermacentor silvarum, 1107 nucleotides. RefSeq lists it as uncharacterized. The record is from RefSeq and is a predicted model, not a curated record. NCBI's taxonomy places the organism in Eukaryota, Metazoa, Arthropoda, Arachnida, Ixodida, Ixodidae. The transcript has 3 exons.
ACGAUGUCAUGGCACAGUAGGCACAGUGGUUUUUAAAUUACGAGGCACACACAUUGUUUAGCGAGGUACGCUGCGCAAUACCAGACACGAUGUCAUGGCACAGUAGGCACAGUGGUUUUUAAACUACGAGGUACACACAUUGUUUAGCGAGGUACGCUGCACAAUACCAGACACGAUGUCAUGCCACAGUAGGCACAGUGGUUUUUAAACUACGAGGUACACACAUUGUUUAGCGAAGUACGCUGCACAAUACCAGAUACGAUGUCAUGGCACAGUAGGCACAGUGGUUUUUAAACUACGAGGUACACACAUUGUUUAGCGAGGUACGCUGCACAAUACCAGAUACGAUGUCAUGGCACAGUAGGCACAGUGGUUUUUAAACUACGAGGUACACACAUUGUUUAGCGAGGUACGCUGCACAAUACCAGAUACGAUGUCAUGGCACAGUAGGCACAGUGGUUUUUAAACUACGAGGUACACACAUUGUUUAGCGAGGUACGCUGCACAAUACCAGACACGAUGUCAUGCCACAGUAGGCACAGUGGUUAUUAAACUACGAGGUACACACAUUGUUUAGCGAAGUACGCUGCACAAUACCAGACAUGAUCUCAUGGCACAGUGGUUUUUAAACUACGAGGUACACACAUUGUUUAGCGAGGUACCUUGCACAAUACCAGACACGAUGUCAUGGCACAGUAGGCACAGUGGUUUUUAAACUACGAGGUACAUACAUUGAGUAGCGAGGUACGCUACAUAUUACCAUGCACGCUGUCUUAGUACAGUUGGCACAGCGGUUCUUACACUACGAGAUACAGCUGCAGCGGAAAAAGAUUAGCGCAAGUGACCGAUGACAUGAGCAGGGAAAUUGCGGUGCGCGGCGCUGUUGUUCUCGUGCACACUGGUAUCUAAAGUGCCAUAUGAUCAUGUUUCAUAGAGGGGGCGCCUGGCACUCUCGUUCUCCGCGUGCUAUAGGACACAACAGCGUCGCGUGCGGCAAUUUAUCUGAUCGGGUGAUCGGUCGCUUGUGCUAAUCUUUUCCCGCUGCAGCUGUACAUGCAUUGUGUAGCGAGGAACGCUACACAAUACCAGGCACGCUGUCAUGGCAUA